RNAcentral lists this ribosomal RNA (277 nucleotides) under uncultured bacterium. RNAcentral describes it as "partial 16S ribosomal RNA". It matches the Rfam family "Bacterial small subunit ribosomal RNA", at positions 28 to 313 of the family's 1533-position model. The record is from RNAcentral.
GAUAAACGCUGGCGGCGUGCCUAACACAUGCAAGUCGAACGCUCUCUCGGGCAACCGAGGGGGAGUGGCGGACGGGUGAGGAACACGUAGGUGACCUACCCUGUGGUGAGGAAUACCUCCGAGAAAUCGGGGACAAUUCCGCAUACGCUCAUAAGAGCAAAGCUUCUCUUUCUGAGAGGUGCCAGAGGAUGGGCCUGCGUCUGAUUAGCUAGUUGGUAGGGUAAAAGCUUACCAAGGCUCUGAUCAGUAGCUGGUCUGAGAGGACGAUCAGCCACAC